GGGUCCGUGGUCUAGUGGUUAUGACGCCACCCUUACAAGGUGGAUGUCCCCAGUUCAAAUCUGGGCGGACCCA
This 73-nucleotide transfer RNA is filed under the name Candidatus Woesearchaeota archaeon. RNAcentral describes it as "tRNA-Val". It matches the Rfam family "tRNA". From Rfam's summary of the family: Transfer RNA (tRNA) molecules are approximately 80 nucleotides in length. The record is from RNAcentral. Lineage: Archaea; Nanobdellati; Candidatus Woesearchaeota. RNAcentral also lists the same sequence under 1 other name.